This 150-nucleotide small nuclear RNA is filed under the name Neotoma lepida (desert woodrat). Its description in RNAcentral is "U2 spliceosomal RNA". It matches the Rfam family "U2 spliceosomal RNA". From Rfam's summary of the family: U2 is a small nuclear RNA (snRNA) component of the spliceosome (involved in pre-mRNA splicing). Complementary binding between U2 snRNA (in an area lying towards the 5' end but 3' to hairpin I) and the branchpoint sequence (BPS) of the intron results the bulging out of an unpaired adenosine, on the BPS, which initiates a nucleophilic attack at the intronic 5' splice site, thus starting the first of two transesterification reactions that mediate splicing. Lineage: Eukaryota; Metazoa; Chordata; Mammalia; Rodentia; Cricetidae. The record is from Rfam by way of RNAcentral.
CCAGCCUCUAGGACUUCUGGCUAAGAUCAAGUGCAGUAUUUGUUCUUAUCACUUCAGUGUCUGAUAUGUUCUGUGUCUGAGAAUUGAAUGGAUUUUUGCAGCUACACAUUAACUUGGUAUUACAGCACUUGCAGGAAUAGCACAGUCGUG